AACCUGAUCUGGAGUCCCGUCCUCACUCUCCUCGCCUCUUUUCCCCUCCUCAUCCCUUGUUCUGCCACCACUGUAUUCCUUCUGACUCGAAUCCAAGGGAGAGACGACCUGAUCUGGUGGGCUUGUGGCGACAGAGAUGGCAGGGGAAUCCAGCGGAGGGGAUGUAAGCAGAGAUACCAACCAUCAAAAUUCAGAGAGCAAUAUCAUCAUUGAAGACCUGGACCAAACUUUUCAUGGCAAUGUUUCUGAAGUUGAGGCCUCUAAUAUUGAUUUAACAGAAACGGAUGCAUCAGAUGGCAUGUUGCUUGAUGGUAUCAGAAAAUGCUGCAAAAGAGUGAUGAGAGUAAACAUGGGAGGAAUGUUUUGAAGGAGCAAAGCAGGAAGAUGGGAACAACCCAAGAAUGUUUGAAUAAAGGAAGAGCAAGUGCGUAUAUCAGAUUUAGCAUAGGGUGUUCUUCCAAGAUAGUCGACAGUGUUUGCAAAAGCAAUUACAGAAUGGAGCUUGUGAAGAACUCUGGAUUCGGAUACAUGCUUGUGAAGAACUCUGGAUUCAAGCAAUUUUGCCAAGGCCUACAUCUGGUCCCAAGCUUUUUUUUUUACAACAAACAAAUAAAUUAAGCCCACAAACACAAGGCCUAGGCCCAGGAAACUUGCCGAGAGUGUGGGGGUGGUGGAGGGGGAGAGGGACGACCCAGCCCUGGAAGCGUCCAACAAAAAAGGACGAGCAACGACAAACAAUUGAACGACUCGGUGACAAACAAUCGAACGACAGAACAAGAACAGGGGCGAUCGGAAGGCUACAAACAGGAUGAUGUCAUGUUAGAUGUGACAUAAUUAUGUCACAUCUAGAUGUGUCCUAGACGGACCCUGAAAGGAAACGAUAGCGAAGGGCUAGUCAAGAAUGGCGCCGCGAUUAUCGGAUCGAACGCCGGCACUCUCGUUCUUUCUAUUCUCUGUUUGACUGAAUAGAAGGAAAAAAAGGGCAGCGCCUGAUCUGGGUCUUCUUCUA
Molecule: long non-coding RNA, 1009 nt
Organism: Triticum dicoccoides
Lineage: Eukaryota; Viridiplantae; Streptophyta; Magnoliopsida; Poales; Poaceae
Exons: 4
Source: RefSeq, a predicted model, not a curated record